Molecule: long non-coding RNA, 804 nt
Organism: Balaenoptera acutorostrata (minke whale)
Lineage: Eukaryota; Metazoa; Chordata; Mammalia; Artiodactyla; Balaenopteridae
Exons: 4
Source: RefSeq, a predicted model, not a curated record
UUUGCGUACAGAGUUUGCUCCAUCUGGCAGCAGAAGAGAAGGUCAGAGAGAUUUGAUGUACAAGGUGACUUGAUAGAUCAUUGCUGGCUUGAAGGCAGAGGAAAACACAUGAAAAGGAAUGUGGGUGGUCUUAAGAUGCUGAGAAAGGACUCUGGGUGACAGCCAGAAAAUAAGGGACCUAGCACUUCCAACAGCAAGGAACCGUACUCUAACAACCUAAAUGAGCCUAGAGGCAGAUGUCUUCCUAGAGCCUCCAGACAAGGAAUCUGCCUUGCUAACACCUUCCUCUCAGCCUUAUGAUACUCUGACCAUUGAAUCCAGCCUGCUGUAAACUAUACGUUAAUAAAUGGGUGUUAUUUGAAGCCACUUAGCUUGUGGUAAUCUGUUAUGCAUCAACAGGAAACUAAUACAUAGUCCUUUACAUUUCGUUUGCUCAGGAGCCAGAUGAGUUUCAGAACUGGGUCAUUUGUGCCUAUGCAGGUGGCACUCAGCCAAGUAAACUGCGGCCAUGUGCUAUCAAGUUCUCUCUCAAAUUCACCAAUAUACCUGGGAGUUGUGCUGGUCUCCAUAGCGGUUCAGUUAACGAGGUCUUUUUCUCAAACUUGAUUCUUCUCAAAAUAUAUUGGCUACUUGAGAGAUGUCAUUACACUCCUGUGAUUUAUACAGAAGCAUACUGUCUUGUCCACUCUGACUGGCGGGCUUCCCCAUCAAGAAGUCUCUUAGUGAAACUCCAUGCCGCUCAGGUCACUUCCAGCCCGCUGGGUGACACAUCCUGUCUGCUGGCCUCUUCCCCCUCCAGGCUCU